Long non-coding RNA from Crotalus tigris (Tiger rattlesnake), 507 nucleotides. RefSeq lists it as uncharacterized. The record is from RefSeq and is a predicted model, not a curated record. The transcript has 4 exons. NCBI's taxonomy places the organism in Eukaryota, Metazoa, Chordata, Lepidosauria, Squamata, Viperidae.
AUCAGACCUUUAAAUGCUUGAAGACAGCUAUUAUGCAUCCCUGAAAUCUUCUCCAAAGGGAUACCCAUGGGUAAUUGUAGCCUUUAAGGCUGCCAGAACUGAAAAAUAAAGGAUGUGAUCUACUCAAAACAUAUAAACAAAGUCUGAAAACUGGAAGUAAAGGCCGGAACCCAGCAAUGACAUUGAAAAUUGCUGUCAUGUGACAGCGAGAUGCUACAAAUAGCCAUAAAGGACUGCUUUGUUCAUCAGUCUAAAGAUAACAAUACAAUGAAUUAUGUAUGAAGUCAAGGGAAGGAAAGCACAAAAGAAGAAAUGCCAAUUCCUUGAAAUGCACAGCACAAACUACUCAGUUCCUAGUUCAUCAAUCUGUACCAUGUUGUGGAUAAAGACUUGCUUUCAACUUUCAGCUUGCUCCAUUUUCAUUGCUGUUAUGCAGCUAAUAAUUAAUAUAGACUAAAAAUGUUAUUGUGUUUUAAAAAGUUAAUAAAAUGAAGCUAUAUCAACAAA